ACAAGGUGUAUCACACACGCAAAGGCACCUAUACCCAUGAAAGAAGCCAAAUAAAAAGUGCUGAUCCUCCCUAUUUCUUUUGCCCCGCUCUUGGGUAGGCCUGCUUUCUGUUCACUCCCAGCCGUGUAUAUUGCUCCUUGUACAUGUGCCCAACAGAGGGUGGGGGACGCCUUCCUCUCCUUUCUGCUCUCUUUCAAACUUGCUCUCCUUGAUGACAGGGAACGGGGCGACACCGCUCAGUGCUUCGUACCUCAGGGUCCAGCACACCCGCUCUCUGUGUCGGGAAGCCAAGCAGCCCCUUAUGUCCCUGCCGAUGCCAGACCACCUCUGGCGCAGACAGGGUCAAGCACCCCACGGCGCAAGGAGGGGCCAGAGCGAGCCGCGACAGUGCAGACGUGUGCGCCAUCCAUGGGAUGGGCAAUGCGCCAGCCUGACCCGCACCUACCUCACCAGGCCCUCACACUGCCCUGCCGGUGGGGUGGUGGGGAGCCUGGGCCACCCCGAUGGCGGCACCGCGUGGCGACCGGCACAAUGGAGCGGCUGUGCGGCGACCUGCGAGGCGGGGAUGGUGGGCGGAGUCUGAGUCCGAGGCGAUGCUCCGAUGAAUGAGUAGGCGCAUCGCUGUAACGUGCGUGUGUGUGCGCGUGUUCGGCUGCUUCGCACGACGCGGAUGGGGGCCUGUGACAGGGCUGGUGUGUGUGUGUGUGGUGUGCGUGUGGUGUGCGUGUGGUGGUGGGGAGGUGCAGCUUAGUUUGGCCUCAUGCUCUAUGGCCGGAGUACUGCACACGACGAAAGAGAAUAUCGAAGGUGUUCUCUUUUUGUGCGGAAGCGAGGCGAUUCCGGCUCUUUUCUUGGUUGAGGUGGCGCGUCGGCGGCGCGGUGCCGCGGCGGGUCACUUCCCGUUUGUUUUGUUCGCUUUCUACUGCACUGGUGCGCUGCUGUUGCUCAUUUUUCUUUUUUUCUUUUUGGCUCACCCAUCUGUCGUUAUCCAUGUUUGCCCCUUGAGUCAUCUCUCUCUCCCUGUCGACGUUGUUGUUUAUGUGUGUUUGAUUUCUCACGGCGCCUUGCCGUGCAAAGGUG
This 1080-nucleotide unclassified non-coding RNA is filed under the name Leishmania donovani. Its description in RNAcentral is "gene:unknown". Lineage: Eukaryota; Euglenozoa; Kinetoplastea; Trypanosomatida; Trypanosomatidae. The record is from RNAcentral.